AGGAUUUAUAGAGAAGGUUUUCCUAGUAUUUUCCUGCCUAUUUUGUGUGCUUCACAGAGCGCAUUUUCCUCAGGGCUUUCUUGGCCCACAGAAACCUUGGGUCAGGAUGGCCAGUGGCCAUACCAUCUGGGAAUUCUGAGAAAUGGAAGUAAUUUUUCCAAGCUCUAGUUCAGCCUAUGAGAUUGAGUAACUAGCCUAAGAAAGAAAGAAAAAAAUCAACAUCUUUAAUGUUUAUCUGAUUGCAAAUAGAUGCUCAUGAGGAAUGCCAGACAACAGGAGAGCGCAAGUUCUUGAACACGGAGUCAGUCAUUCAGGAGGAACGAUACGAUAUACAGUAUGUGUUUCCACAGCCAAGAAAGAAGGACAAUCAAGAAUAUCUAAGGUCGUGUGGCAAUCUGAAAAAGGCAAGGACUAUGUGAAGAAAACCAUGCUGAGAACCUCAGUCUCUGAAGAAUGCCGUGAGCCCUCCUGAAUACAAACCGCAGUGGAGUUGCCAGAAAGAUGGAAUUGAAUAUCAGGAACUAUUUGCACAAACUGUUAUU
Molecule: non-coding RNA, 542 nt
Organism: Pogona vitticeps (central bearded dragon)
Lineage: Eukaryota; Metazoa; Chordata; Lepidosauria; Squamata; Agamidae
Source: RefSeq, a predicted model, not a curated record